RNAcentral lists this ribosomal RNA (246 nucleotides) under uncultured bacterium. Its description in RNAcentral is "partial small subunit ribosomal RNA". It matches the Rfam family "Bacterial small subunit ribosomal RNA", at positions 26 to 285 of the family's 1533-position model. The record is from RNAcentral.
AGAAUCAACGCUGGCGGCGUGCCUAACACAUGCAAGUCGCACGAGAAAGGGGCUUCGGCCCUGAGUAAAGUGGCGCACGGGUGAGUAACACGUGAAUAAUCUACCUCUGAGUGGGGAAUAACUGAGAGAAAUCUUAGCUAAUACCGCAUAAUACUUACGAGUCAAAGCAGCAAUGCGCUUGGAGAGGAGUUCGCGGCCGAUUAGUUAGGUUGGCGGGGUAAUGGCCCACCAAGACGAUGAUCGGUA